UACGUAGGGUGCAAGCGUUGUCCGGAAUUAUUGGGCGUAAAGAGCUCGUAGGCGGUUUGUCACGUCUGCUGUGAAAUUUCGAGGCUCAACCUCGAACUUGCAGUGGGUACGGGCAGGCUAGAGUGCGGUAGGGGAGAUGGGAAUUCCUGGUGUAGCGGUGGAAUGCGCAGAUAUCAGGAGGAACACCAAUGGCGAAGGCA
RNAcentral lists this ribosomal RNA (200 nucleotides) under uncultured bacterium. Its description in RNAcentral is "partial 16S ribosomal RNA". It matches the Rfam family "Bacterial small subunit ribosomal RNA", at positions 524 to 723 of the family's 1533-position model. The record is from RNAcentral.